This 467-nucleotide ribosomal RNA is filed under the name uncultured bacterium. Its description in RNAcentral is "partial 16S ribosomal RNA". It matches the Rfam family "Bacterial small subunit ribosomal RNA", at positions 28 to 507 of the family's 1533-position model. The record is from RNAcentral.
GACGAACGCUGGCGGCGUGCUUAACACAUGCAAGUCGAACGGAAAGGCCCGGCUUUUGUGGGGUGCUCGAGUGGCGAACGGGGGAGUAACACGUGAGUAAACUGCCCUUGACAUUGGGAUAAAUUCAGGAAACUGGGGAUAAAACCGGAUAGGAGCUACUGCUGCAUGGGGGGGGUUGGAAAGUUUCGGCGGUUGGGGAUGGACUCGCGGCAUAUCAGCUUGUUGGGGGGGUAGUGGCUUCAAAGGCUUUGACGGGUAGCCCGCCGGAGAGGGUGACCGGCCACCUUGGGCCUGCGAUACGGCCCAGACUCCUACGGGACGCAGCAGUCGGGAGUAUUGCACAAUGGCCCGAAGCCUGUUACAGCAACGCCGCGUGCGGGAUGACGGCCUUCGGGUUGUAAACCGCUUUCGCCUGUGACGAACCGUGAUUGACGGUAAUGGGUAAAGAAGCACCGGCUAACUACGUG